This 443-nucleotide ribosomal RNA is filed under the name uncultured bacterium. Its description in RNAcentral is "partial 16S ribosomal RNA". It matches the Rfam family "Bacterial small subunit ribosomal RNA", at positions 338 to 795 of the family's 1533-position model. The record is from RNAcentral.
CCUACGGGAGGCUGCAGUGGGGAAUAUUGGGCAAUGGGCGCAAGCCUGACCCAGCAACGCCGCGUGAAGGAAGAAGGCUUUCGGGUUGUAAACUUCUUUUCUCAGGGACGAAGCAAGUGACGGUACCUGAGGAAUAAGCCACGGCUAACUACGUGCCAGCAGCCGCGGUAAUACGUAGGUGGCAAGCGUUAUCCGGAUUUACUGGGUGUAAAGGGCGUGUAGGCGGGACUGCAAGUCAGAUGUGAAAACCACGGGCUCAACCUGUGGCCUGCAUUUGAAACUGUAGUUCUUGAGUGCUGGAGAGGCAGACGGAAUUCAUGGUGUAGCGGCGAAAUGCGUAGAUAUUAGGAGGAACACCAGUGGCGAAGGCGGUCUGCUGGACAGCAACUGACGCUGAGGCGCGAAAGCGUGGGGAGCAAACAGGAUUAGAUACCCCUGUAGUC